This 245-nucleotide long non-coding RNA is filed under the name Daucus carota (carrot). RNAcentral describes it as "long non-coding RNA (DCAR_LNC002991)". Lineage: Eukaryota; Viridiplantae; Streptophyta; Magnoliopsida; Apiales; Apiaceae. The record is from RNAcentral.
AGGGAGGGAGGGAGGGAGGGAGAGCGGUGAGAGAGAGGGCUAACGAAGCGAUGAAAUGAAAGUAAUGGAAAGUUAUAUACGUACAGAGUAUGUAUGUAUAUGUACAACAAACACACACCGCCACACAAACUCAGCUGAAUUGAGAGAGUGGUAACAGACCGAAGGAUCUUGUGGGCGGGAAACUAAAAAGAAAGAACUUGUGUAGCCAUUACUUGAUGAGCUGGCCGGUGUUGUGUAAAGGAUAU